RNAcentral lists this ribosomal RNA (468 nucleotides) under uncultured bacterium. Its description in RNAcentral is "partial 16S ribosomal RNA". It matches the Rfam family "Bacterial small subunit ribosomal RNA", at positions 28 to 507 of the family's 1533-position model. The record is from RNAcentral.
GACGAACGCUGGCGGCGUGCUUAACAUAUGCAAGUCGAACGGAAAGGCCCUGCUUUUUUGCGGUGCUCGAGUGGCGAACGGGUGAGUAACACGUGAGUAACCUGCCCUUGACUUUGGGAUAACUUCAGGAAACUGGGGCUAAUACCCGAUAGAAGCUCCUGCUGCAUGGUGGGGGUUGGAAAGUUGCGGCGGUUGGGGAUGUACUCGAGGCUUAUCAGCUUGUUGGUCGGGUAUUUGCUUACCAAGGCUUUGACGGGUAGCCGGCCUGAGAGUGUGACCGCGCACAAUGGGACUGAGAGAGGCACCAGACUGGUAUGGGAGGCAGCAGUCGCGAACAUUGCCCAACCGUCGCAAGUGUGAUGUGACAACGCUGGGUGCGGGAACACGGCUUUUGGGUUGUAAACAGCUUUCGCCUGAGACGAAGCGGGCGUGACGGUAACGGGUAAAGAAGCACCGGCUAACUACGUG